AUACGGAGGAUCCGAGCGUUAUCCGGAUUUAUUGGGUUUAAAGGGUGCGCAGGCGGCCAUUUAAGUCAGCGGUUAAAUCGUGGGGCUCAACCCCAUUCUGCCGUUGAUACUGGGUGGCUUGAUUGCGGUCGAGGUUGGCGGAAUUCGUUGUGUAGCGGUGAAAUGCAUAGAUAUGACGAAGAACACCGAUUGCGUAGGCAGCUGACCAGACCGCAAAUGACGCUCAUGCACGAAAGUGCGGGGAUCGAACAGGAUUAGAUACCCUGGUAGUCCGCACAGUAAACGAUGAAUACUCGCUGUUUGCGAUACAGUGUAAGCGGCACAGCGAAAGCGUUAAGUGAUCCACCUGGGGAGUACGCCGGCAACGGUGAAACUCAAAUGAAUUGACGGGG
RNAcentral lists this ribosomal RNA (392 nucleotides) under uncultured bacterium. RNAcentral's name for it is "partial 16S ribosomal RNA". It matches the Rfam family "Bacterial small subunit ribosomal RNA", at positions 523 to 918 of the family's 1533-position model. The record is from RNAcentral.